GACGAACGUUGGCGGCGUGCUUAAUACAUGCAAGUCAACUGAAGCAGUGGUAGCAAUAUCGCUGUGGAGGUGGCGCACGGGUGAGUAACACGUAGGUAAUCUGCCUUCAGGUCUGGCAUAACUCCGGGAAACCGGGGCUAAUAGCAGAUGAUGCAGCGGCUCGACAUCGAGACAGUUGUUAAAGCUAUGGCGCCUGAAGAUGAGCCUGCGUCUGAUUAGCAAGUUGGCGGGGUAACGGCCCACCAAGGCAACGAUCAGUAGCUGGUCUGAGAGGAUGAUCAGCCACACUGGAACUGAGACACGGUCCAGACUCCUACGGGAGGCAGCAGUAAGGAAUAUUGCUCAAUGGGAGAAAUCCUGAAGCAGCAACGCCGCGUGAGGGACGAAGGGCUUUGGCUUGUAAACCUCUGUAGUGAGAGAAAAAAAUCCCAAUCUUUGGGACAUGAUGGUAUCUCAAAAGUAAGCCCCGGCUAACUACGUG
Molecule: ribosomal RNA, 481 nt
Filed under: uncultured bacterium
Lineage: Bacteria
Description: partial 16S ribosomal RNA
Rfam family: Bacterial small subunit ribosomal RNA
Source: RNAcentral